GCCAGUGUAAUUCAAAAAGAAUAUUAUAUUGAAGAUAUAAAAAUGAACUUUCCUCUUGCA
This 60-nucleotide transfer RNA is filed under the name Epimeria cornigera. Its description in RNAcentral is "tRNA-Phe". The record is from RNAcentral. RNAcentral also lists the same sequence under 1 other name. Lineage: Eukaryota; Metazoa; Arthropoda; Malacostraca; Amphipoda; Epimeriidae.